Molecule: ribosomal RNA, 460 nt
Filed under: uncultured bacterium
Lineage: Bacteria
Description: partial 16S ribosomal RNA
Rfam family: Bacterial small subunit ribosomal RNA
Source: RNAcentral
CCUACGGGGGGCUGCAGUGAGGAAUAUUGGUCAAUGGACGAGAGUCUGAACCAGCCAAGUAGCGUGAAGGAUGACUGCCCUAUGGGUUGUAAACUUCUUUUAUAUGGGAAUAAAAUGUUCCACGUGUGGGAUUUUGUAUGUACCAUAUGAAUAAGGAUCGGCUAACUCCGUGCCAGCAGCCGCGGUAAUACGGAGGAUCCGAGCGUUAUCCGGAUUUAUUGGGUUUAAAGGGAGCGUAGGUGGAUUGUUAAGUCAGUUGUGAAAGUUUGCGGCUCAACCGUAAAAUUGCAGUUGAAACUGGCAGUCGUGAGUACAGUAGAGGUGGGCGGAAUUCGUGGUGUAGCGGUGAAAUGCUUAGAUAUCACGAAGAACUCCGAUUGCGAAGGCAGCUCACUGGACUGCAACUGACACUGAGGCUCGAAAGUGUGGGUAUCAAACAGGAUUAGAUACCCCUGUAGUC